Small nuclear RNA from Delphinapterus leucas (beluga whale), 99 nucleotides. The record is from Ensembl. NCBI's taxonomy places the organism in Eukaryota, Metazoa, Chordata, Mammalia, Artiodactyla, Monodontidae.
ACAUGUAUUUUCAGUAUUGAAAUUGGAACUAUAUAGAGAAGAUUAGCAUAACCCCUGCAAAAGUAUGCCACAGAAAUUCAUGAUGUGUUUCAUAGUUUG